Long non-coding RNA from Helianthus annuus (common sunflower), 1565 nucleotides. RefSeq lists it as uncharacterized. The transcript has 2 exons. NCBI's taxonomy places the organism in Eukaryota, Viridiplantae, Streptophyta, Magnoliopsida, Asterales, Asteraceae. The record is from RefSeq and is a predicted model, not a curated record.
ACGAUAAAAGGUGGGGUGGGCGACGGGUGCAAUGUGACACUUUGACGAUGCACUUCGCAUACACGCAUCAUUGCGAGCCGCUGAGAGUUGCCUAGUAUUGAGGGUGUAACUCACUACUGCUCCAUAAACCUAUAAACAGUGUCAUGAAUUCAGGGCCGUUCCAACGUUUUUGUAGAGCCUAAGCGGACUACGAAGUGGAGACCCUUUUGCAAAACAUAUAGAGAUCAAUAGAAAAAUUAGCUGCUAAAGUUAACCUACGUUUAGUAAUUAGCCCUAAUUUUGCCCAUAAAUUCUCCUCCAAUCCCGACAGACCCGACGCCAUGAGUGAUUACCGUUAGUGAUAGCCGAUAACCUAGAAAAUCGAAAAAGCAGGUUGCGAUAGGAGGCAUGAACGAGGACUAUGGCUCAAUUUUAGGGAUUUUUGGCGCUGAUUCACGGAAUUCAGAUGAGGUCUAGUGGUAGGUAGUUGCUACAAAAUGUAAUUAUGUCUGUGGUUUAGUUUCGAAACUGGGUUUUAAAUGUGGGCCUUUUUUCCUAAAUAAUUUUUAUUUGUCUAAUCUUAUUAAAAAAAACAUGGUCUAGUUUUGCUUUUAUUUUAGCCUGAUACAUAUACAAUAUAUAAAACUUUACUAAAAAUUGGAGUCCCUUGAUUUUUGGUGGCCCUAUACCCGUGCCUAGAUUGGUAAGCCUAACGGGUCAGCCUGCAUGAAUUAAAAUUACAGUUUUGAUUCAUCAAUUUAGAUCAAAUUUUAAUGCAGUUAGAACUGGUUAAUUAAAGAUUAAUGUGCGUUUCGUUUCAAUUUUGUGUGGUGAUUAGAAAAUGCAUAUCAAAGUUCAUUUUGAGUUGAUAGAAAAAACUAGGACACACACAUAAGAAAGAUAAACAUUUUUCGGCAGAUUAGAGGGGGCACUUUGUAAGUCGUUCCGCGUAUUUUUUUUCUUUUCUCACAGAAUACUAAAACACCAGAAAGUCUUGAACUAUCUUAGGUGCGUGAGCCAUCUCCGGCACAUACUAUACUUAAUACUUGUUAUUGUAUCAAGGGAGGCAUACAUGUUCGUCUAAGAGAAGACACAAAAUCUUUUUGAAUGGACGUAAUAAACACGAAGCCUCAACCAACACUAACGGAUUAUUCAGUUUGUUUUGCAGCCAAGAACAUGAUUGAAGACUCUGGUUCGAAUAAUUUAACAUUUAUAAUUGUUGAGCAUGCAUUCCUUGAGACGAUUAAACUUAUAUCAGAAUUGUUGAGCAAGGCAGAAGAAGGAUGUCGGAAAGGAUGGCUUUGCAAGGUAUAGUCGAGGUGGCUUGUUGGUUCCUUUGGAAAGCUAGGAACGAUCUUAGGUUUAAUGGUAAAAGGUGUAAUGUUGAAGAGGUCUUUAGUGAAGUUCGGUUGGUUAGUUAUUUUUGGUUCAAAUGUCGGGCUAAAAAUGGCUCUUUCGACUGGGGGGAUUGGUGUAAAUUUGUAAAUAUGCAAUUGGUUUGUUGGUUGUUGCCGUCCCGGUUUCGGGCUCGGUGUUUUAAUAAAGUUCUCCUUUCAAAAAAAAAGAGAGAGAAAUAACUCAAGUGA